RNAcentral lists this ribosomal RNA (279 nucleotides) under uncultured bacterium. Its description in RNAcentral is "partial 16S ribosomal RNA". It matches the Rfam family "Bacterial small subunit ribosomal RNA", at positions 506 to 784 of the family's 1533-position model. The record is from RNAcentral.
UGCCAGCCGCCGCGGUAAUACGGAGGGCGCAAGCGUUACUCGGAAUCACUGGGCGUAAAGCGCGUGUAGGCGGUUCGUUAAGUCUGAUGUGAAAGCCCGGGGCUCAACCCCGGAAGUGCAUUGGAAACUGGCGAACUUGAGUACGGGAGAGGAAAGUGGAAUUCCUAGUGUAGAGGUGAAAUUCGUGGAUAUUAGGAAGAACACCAGUGGCGAAGGCGGCUUACUGGACCGGUACUGACGCUGAGGUACGAAAGCGUGGGGAGCGAACAGGAUUAGAUA